Xenopus laevis (African clawed frog) is the source of this 920-nucleotide long non-coding RNA. RefSeq lists it as uncharacterized. NCBI's taxonomy places the organism in Eukaryota, Metazoa, Chordata, Amphibia, Anura, Pipidae. The transcript is spliced from 3 exons. The record is from RefSeq and is a predicted model, not a curated record.
UAAAUAAAUGUUGGAUAAAUUACAUUGUAACAGCAAAAGCUUACAGGGGGAGGGGCAUGGAAUGUAUAACGCAGGAGGUGGGACUAGAACGCUCUGAUGUCAGAUUACAGGGGGAGGGGCAUGGAAUGUAUAACGCAGGAGGUGGGACUAGAACGUUUUGAUGUCAGAUUACAGGGGGAGGGGCAUGGAAUGUAUAAUGCAGGAGGUGGGACUAGAACGCUCUGAUGUCAGAUUACAGGGGGAGGGGCAUGGAAUGUAUAACGCAGGAGGUGGGACCAAAACACUCUGAUGGAAGCUUACAGGGGAGGGGCAAGGAAUGUAUAACGCAGGAGGUGGGACUAGAACGCUCUGAUGGAAGCUUACAGGGGAGGGGCAAGGAAUGUAUAACGCAGGAGGUGGGACUAGAACGUUUUGAUGUCAGAUUACAGGGGGAGGGGCAUGGAAUGUAUAACGCAGGAGGUGGGACUAGAACGUUUUGAUGUCAGAUUACAGGGGGAGGGGCAUGGAAUGUAUAAUGCAGGAGGUGGGACUAGAACGCUCUGAUGUCAGAUUACAGGGGGAGGGGCAUGGAAUGUAUAACGCAGGAGGUGGGACUAGAACGCUCUAAUGUCAGAUUACAGGGGGAGGGGCAUGGAAUGUAUAAUGCAGGAGGUGGGACUAAAACAUGCCGAUGGAAGCUUACAGGGGGAGGGGAGUUGAAACACAAGCUGUGGGUGGGACUAUAACUGACGGCAUUUUUCAGUUCUAAAAAUAAACACACAUAGUGAAAGGGAUCAUCGGUUCGGUUUAUUUUAUAGGCCUUUGUCUUUAAAAGGUUAAUCUGGUUUGAUUUGUCUUAGGGUUGCAAGUUCACCCACUUAACGGGGUUGUUCACCUUUAAUGUAACUUUUUGCAUGAUGUAGUUGUAGAGAGUGGUAUUA